Daktulosphaira vitifoliae (grape phylloxera) is the source of this 2750-nucleotide long non-coding RNA. RefSeq lists it as uncharacterized. NCBI's taxonomy places the organism in Eukaryota, Metazoa, Arthropoda, Insecta, Hemiptera, Phylloxeridae. The transcript has 4 exons. The record is from RefSeq and is a predicted model, not a curated record.
AUUCCCCUCCUCAUAAAACAGGUCUAUAAAAGAGCAAUUUCUAGCUCAUUCGUCUACUAAUUUUUUUUUCUAAAAAUCUGGUCAUUAAGCGUUUUCUGCACCAGAUUAUUUCGCGUUUUGUGCUAUUUCUUACUUAAAAUCUUUUUACACUUGGUGUUUAUUAUCUAAAUCUCUCAUAAGUAAUGUCAUUUUGAAAGAAUAACUUAACUUUUUAUCUUUUUAUUUUUUUUUUAGUUUUGAAUAUUUAUAAAAUAUUAAAACACAUUAAAUUUUUAUUUUGUAUUUUGUGAGUUGUUUCAAUUAAGAAUUUUUUAAUUCUUCAUUUGGAGUGUCUAUUUAAUAAGUGCAUUUCGAAAAUCUACCUUAGCACAUCUAGCGGUUGAAACUGUUGUAAUACAAUAGUUUGUGACGUGUCACUAAGGAGAUCGUAGAAUGUACUUUAAAUUUAAGUAGAUACGUGUUUGAUUGAUUGCACAAGAUACUGAUGGUUUGUUGAAAUCAUUACCCUAGCACAUCUAGCGGUUGAAAUUAUUGGUAAAACAAUAAUUUGUGACGUGUCACUAGGGAUUGAUUCUCAUAUUCCAUUACGUUCUUUUCGGCAAGCAGUUUUUGACUCUGUAAGGUCCGGGCAUCGACGAGAGUAAUCUCCGAUGGUGUAGCCAGCCUGUCUCUAACUCUGGCGACUCUCAUGUCAAAUACACAAUUUCAUAAAAUAUCGAUAGUUUAUUGAAGUCAUUACCCUAGCACAUCUAGCGGUUAAAACUAUUCGUAAAACAAUAGUUUAUAACGUGUCACUAGGGAUUGGUUCUCAUAAGCUAUCUGGUUAUAUAAUUUUCCUUAUUUUAAAAUAUAAAGUAAUAUAUAUACUCAGACACCAAGUAUAGAAAGGAAUUACAGUGAAGUAAUAUUUCAAGUUUAACAAUUUGCAUAAUUUUACAAAAAUUAAUAAGUAAAUAAAAGUCAGUGCUCUCUUCACAUAUAUAUCUUUUACGCAAUAAACAAUCAAGCUAGCUGGACACAAGGAUAAUUAUAAAAACCAGAGAAUUUACCAGUGCAAGCAUUGCUAACAAUUACAUUCGGGCUUCUCACAACCUUUUUAUAUGUUACAUAAUAAACAUUAUCAUUCUGAACAGACCUUGAGAACAUGAAGGGUAUUACUUUGGGGCCCCGAGACUAAUCAAGAAGUCGACGACAGGGCCGGGCUUUUCAUUGAAACAAUUAGUAGCUAACAAUUGAGAGCCCACGUGAUGGAAGCUCCUCCAUAUCUCAAAAGCUUACGAACUUAGGAGUGUGGACAUCGAAUAUCCAGAGGUUCUUACUAAGAUGCUAAUGUCUCACCAAAUAACUUUAUUUUAAACUAAACUUUUUUAAUUAUCCCAAAUUAUUUUAUUUUGUUAAGGCUUGAGGUCAGACCUAAAAUGUAGGGGGAGCAUCUUAUACGAUCAUAUUAUGUGAUCAUAUCUCAUAUUAAUAAUGUAACGCUCACUAAGCUUAUAUCGUUGACACAGUGUAAUGAUAUCCAUAAUACAUCAUUAAUGUCAUAAUGUAUUAUUAAUACUUCAAUCAAUCAAUCACACAAAAUAAAAUGUAUACUAAUAAAAAUAAGAUAUAUAUAUGUACCUUUUAAAUGUUUAAAAAUACUAAUAAAAUUACGUAGAAAAAGAGUAUAUAUUAAUUAUAAAAAACAAACAGGAAAUAAUAAACAAUAUGUAAUGGUAGCACAUAAGAAUGGUAAUAAACUAUGUCUAAAUUAUUAUAUGAGAUAUGAUUGUAUUUUAUAAUAUGUAGUAUUUUAUAUAUGUAUGAAAAUGUAAUAAAUAACAAGUAAUAAAUUACGAUUAAUAAAGAAAUAACAGUGGCGUCGGGGAUUACUUCUUGUCUUUGAACUACGGUCAAAUUUAAUAUAAAAAGCCAAAAAUAUAGAGCAUUCUAAGAGAGAUGCAAUCAGAUAUUUACAGAGGCACUCACUGCGCUCGAUCAUUCCACACUACGAAAUAUAUGCAAGAAGUGAUUUGCCGUCAACACAGUUAUAUUUGUUCACAAAAUACAACAUCUAUUUAUUUAAGAGUAUAGCAGAAAAUAUCAAGGUAGGAAUCUAAUAAUUUCACCAAAAAUAAAUAAGGUUUAAAAUUAAAUAUUAUGAGUACAUAGAUUAAGUAGGCAUACAGGAAAAUCAAGUGAUUAUCAAUAAUAAUAAAUAUACCAAAUAAAUUUAAUAAAUCACUAAUGUUUGUACAGAGUUACUUGGCAGAGUUAUAUCGUUGAUACGUGUCUAUUUCAGGAGUUAGGUUGGAGGUUUAUAUGCAUAGCCACCAUACCACUCUGUGUAGAUACACGAGGUGACUCAAUCCCACCUAUCAUCGAUAACCGUCAAUACUCGUGGCAUUAUUGAUAUUUAAGAAUUGACAAUCAAUUAUAAUAAAUCCUAUAUUAAUAAAAUAAAGAUCACUUUAUUUUUCUAUCAUCUUCUAUCUUUCUUACAGACCCUCGUACUCAUACCCCGAGUAAUAAUAUUAUUAAUACAAUAAAGUAGUGGAUCAAAUAAGAAUCAACAUCCCGUCAUAUUCUAUUUAACUUAUUUCUUUUGAGCAACUGUCAAAGUAGCUCCCUAAAUUAAUAACCCCCCCCCUAAAUAUUAUCAUAUUAAUACAAUUAAAGUAUUAAAGUAAUUUAAAAUAUGUUUUCUUCUUUUUUUUGAUUCACUACAAAAUAUAAAUAAAAUAAUAGAUUUUUUAUUAUAAAUUGUUAAA